ACUUUCAGCAGUGAGGAAGGUGGGUAUGUUAAUAGCAUACUCAUUUGACGUUAGCUGCAGAAGAAGCACCGGCUAACUCCGUGCCAGCAGCCGCGGUAAUACGGAGGGUGCGAGCGUUAAUCGGAAUUACUGGGCGUAAAGCGCAUGCAGGUGGUUUGUUUAAGUCAGAUGUGAAAGCCCGGGGCUCAACCUCGGAAUUGCAUUUGAAACUGGCAAACUAGAGUACUGUAGAGGGGGUAGAAUUUCAGGUGUAGCGGUGAAAUGCGUAGAGAUCUGAAGGAAUACCGGUGGCGAAGGCGGCCCCCUGGACAGAUACUGACACUCAGAUGCGAAAGCGUGGGGAGCAAACAGGAUUAGAUACCCUGGUAG
RNAcentral lists this ribosomal RNA (369 nucleotides) under uncultured bacterium. RNAcentral's name for it is "bacterial SSU rRNA". It matches the Rfam family "Bacterial small subunit ribosomal RNA", at positions 432 to 793 of the family's 1533-position model. The record is from RNAcentral.